This 256-nucleotide ribosomal RNA is filed under the name uncultured bacterium. Its description in RNAcentral is "partial 16S ribosomal RNA". It matches the Rfam family "Bacterial small subunit ribosomal RNA", at positions 524 to 776 of the family's 1533-position model. The record is from RNAcentral.
UACGGAGGGGGCUAGCGUUGUCCGGAGUUACUGGGCGUAAAGCGCGCGCAGGCGGCCCGCGAGGUGUCACGUGAAAGCCCCGGGCUCAACUCGGGAGGGUCGUGGCAAACCGGCGGGCUUGAGGCCGGUAGAGGUGGGUGGAACUCCUGGUGGAGUGGUGAAAUGCGUAGAGAUCAGGAAGAACACCCGUGGCGAAGGCGGCCCACCUGGGCCGGUGCUGACGGCUGGAGGCGCGAAGGCGUGGGGAGCGAACGGG